This 4328-nucleotide long non-coding RNA is filed under the name Marmota monax (woodchuck). The record is from RNAcentral. Lineage: Eukaryota; Metazoa; Chordata; Mammalia; Rodentia; Sciuridae.
UGCUAAGGCUGGCUUUGAAUUCUCCACCCUUCUGCCUCAGCCUCCCAAGCCACUGGGAUUACAGGUGUGUGCCACCAUGCCCAGCCAGGUUGGGUUUUGAUGCAGGGCAAAUCAGCCCCAUAUGCCAUAAGGAGUGGCCACCAUAGUAAAGGCUUGGGCCUCAGGGUGCUCACACCUUACUCUGGGUGUGUCUGGGUUGGUGUUUUAUCAGAUGAACACUUGAGUCAGUGACUGAGUAAAACAGAUACUCCAUAGUGUGAGUGCCUCAUGCAAACCACUGAGGCCCAAAUAGAACAAAAAGACUCUCUGCCUGACUGAAGUGGGAUAUCAUUUUCUCCUGGCUUCAGACUCAGACUUCCACUUGGAUUGAGACUUAGACCUUAUCUCUCCUGGGUCUCUAUCUGCCAGAGCAGAUCCUGGAUUCCCAGCCUCCAAAAAUCAUGUGAGCCAAGUCCUCAUAACAAGUCUGUUAUCUUUCUCUGUUCUCUCUCUGGAGGACCCAGACUAACACAUGGUCCAUCUCCUUCAAGUUGGGCUUCCAAGUCCUCCUUUCCUUUCAGCAGUGCCCUGUCCUGUCCUCACACAAACACCACUUGUUGGUCUGCCUCCUGGUCCUCAGCACCCUGCAGUCUUCAUGCUCCUCAAAGCAAACAUUGGAGGACAUGUGAGGUGGUACCUGCAUCCCUUGGCUCCUUGUCCCUUCCUCCAUCCUCAGAGCAGCAGAGCAGCACCUUCCAGUCUCUUCACUUCCCUCUUUCACUUGCGGGAUCCCAUGGUCACGCUGCACUCACCCAAAUAACCAAGGAUACUUGCCCUAGUUAAAAUCCUAGAUCUGAUCACCCCUGGAAAGUCUGUUUUGCCAUCUGAGGUAACAUGUUCCUAGGUCAGGGUUUGGGUAUGGAUAUCUGGGGGACCCCACCUUACCAGAGUCAGCCUUCCUAGGCAUACGUUUAUUACACAAGGGUAAGAAUGCAGAUGGGUCCAAGAAAACCCAUCCUUCUUCCUGGAAAACAACUCAGUGCAUCGCCCCUGUUCCAGAACCAUCUCCUUCUAACUCUGUAACCAUGGGACUUGCCCAUUCCUCACUGAAGGGCUGCCCCAGAGUAGGGAGGGCAGACCUUCACGAUGCAGCCAGAGGCAGAGGUGUAAAAGCACAAAGGCCAGGAAGCCCUAGAAGGUCAUUGUGUGAGGCCACAUCUGAGGCCAGCAACAUGCCGGGCCUGGAAAGAUGUGGGCUCUGGAGCUGAGCUGCUGUGUUCAAGAUCAACACCUCUCUGUGCGUUCUCUUCUGUAGUAUGUCACAUGGGGACCAUGAGAGCUGAUACUUCAUAGGACUGACAUUGUCCAUGAGAUAGUUAAAGCUUACAGUAAACAUAUGUAUUGUAAGGGUUACAUGCUAUAAUCAUGGUGUUUGUUAUCAUAGAAAAUAGUAGUCUUUGCCCACACGUCUGAGAGAAACAAAGUCGUAGCAUGAGGCCACCCAGCUGUUUCCUUUUGGUCUCUGUCUUGUCUACCUAUUUCUUGAUGGCCAAAACGGGGGGGGGGGGCAGUCUCACAGUUCCCAGCACUCAGGCACCUGGAAGCUUCUCUCUCAUGGGAAGGCUGGUCACCCCCAAUUCAUGUUUAGCACUUUGCUGUUUUUUUUGUUUUGUUUUGUUUUUGCAGUGUAGGGGAUUGAACCUAGGGCCUCACAUGCUAGGCAGAUGCUUUACCACCAAGCCCGAGCCCCAUUAUCUUUACCACACAUUAUUAGCUCAGAUGUCCUUAUUUAGGUCAGUUACUACUAAUAAUAGCAAUAAUUAACAAUAAAUAUUAAACCAAUUAUAAUAAUACAUAGUACUACAAAUAGUGAUAGUAAAAUUACAAAUAUAGUCAAAUAUUUUCUAUCCAUCAAACUCACUUUUAAAAAAAUCAGAUAAUACUUUUAGUUUGGAGUAUAAGCCCUUAGCAACCACAUCAUGUGGGCAUUUCCCAGGUGCAUCUGAAGUUCAAACACUUUAUCAUUCUGUACAGCCAGGCCCUCCACAUGUCUGCACAUAUUAAAAACUGUGGCAAAAAGUGAAUGCAUACCCUUGAAAGCACAUAUAUUACUUACUUUGUCCUUCCUGCUGUUGAUGGUGACCAAUAGUCCUUUCCUCUGGGCCCAUUGUAAGGUUUGACUGAAAAAAAAACACCUGAACUUUGGAGUGUUACAUUUCAAAAUCCCAAGAACCUUCAAAUGAUAACCAGUGUCCAUAAGAGGGUACCACUUUCACAGGGCCUCUUUAUAUAUGACCUCAUUAAACCCCAUGGCUUCCUAGGGAGACUCUGUACCAGGGGCCUGAUUUGCUCUGAACUUUGUGUCCUUUCGGGUCAUUUCACUGACAGUGCAAUGUUCCUGGACACAGUCAAAAAAAAUCAGAUAAUACUUUUAGUUUGGAGUAUAAGCCCAAACUUCUACCAAUGGGUCCCAGAGUAUUCUAGUUAAUAUGUCUUGUUUCAGAUGUUGUUGCUGGAAAUGCUUAAAAGCAAAUCUUUAGUGGCUUAGUAAGUAUGUAGAGUAGGGACAUUCAGUAUGCAGUAGGACAUUCCUCCUGCAUGUCCCUUGUAUGAACUGUUCCUUCCCCACCCCGACUCCCUGCUCCCCUCCCACAGGCCCUACCUAAGUCAGGUCUCAGCACAAGUCUCGGGGACACACUCGGUCCACUUGGGAGCCUGCAGAAGGGACUGCUGGCUUUAGCAUCUCUCCUACUUCUGCACAUAUUUACAUGACAUCUCCAGCCCCCUGGCCUUGGCUGGGUCACGAUGAGUUCUGGCCUCUGGGACAUACACAGAAGUGACUGUGUCCCUGGUGGUCCAGCCACAAACCAAUGCCACUGUCUGUGUUCGCUACCUUGCCAGUUACGGAGUUCCUGGAGGGUGUUGGAUCCUCCAGAUAAAAGAAAUCUGGCCAUGUGGCUGCAGCGGCCAGCACUGGCCAUAGCAAGGUUGGGAAAUUAACUUAUAAUGCUUAUGCUGAUGCAAUUUGCAUUUUUUUCUGAGUAGAGCAAAUAAAUCCCAGUGGAGUGAGAUAAACAGGAAUAAUGUAAUGCAGAGUUUAGAAGAAGCAAACUGUUAGGAGUGGACUGCAGGGGCAAGGAUGAGCAGGAAGGCCUGGGAAGACUGACAGCCUAAGCCAGAGGUAGCGCAGGACAGGAGGCAGGUAGCCACUGUAGACCCUAGAAACAGACCUGACGGGCCAGUGGAAGGUCAGGUGCAUGAGUGAGGGAGAAAGAAAGCAAGCAAGCUGGCUGGCUUGCCACAGUGGCACUGUUAUAGCCAGAGGGGAGUUUGGAAGGGCACAUGCUAAAGCUUGAGACAGUGUUCUGACAUCCCUACAGUCAUCUCUUGCUUCACAAGUUCAGGGCAGAAGUCUGAACCAGAGAUAAAUCUGGAAGUUGUCCAUGUGUGUUUGCUGUUUAGUUCUCUCAGAUUGGUUAAGGGGUCCAAGGACAUGAGGGUGGAGUGAGGAGCAAUGGCCAGAGGAGAAGAGUGCAGGGGAGGACAGUCCUGGGGGCAAGAACAGGUGCCUACCUGUCAAUGCUGGUCACGGGGAUGUGGAGGAAAAUCUUCCCUUGGAUUAGGCCUAGGAGGGCUCUCAUUGGCUUCACAGCACCAGUUUUGGAGGAGUGUUGGGAAUGAACAAAAGGAUGAUGCAUGCGAGAGGAGCAGAGAAAUGAGACUUGGCUGGGAGUGAGAAACUGAUGUGACUCCAUUUUUGAGAAAUCAGCUUCUACCUCAAGGCCUGUCCAAAGAAGGGGGCGUGAACCUUGUCCUGGGAAAAACCCACAGAGCACUCCUAAGCACAUACCCACCCUGCUGAUCGUUUGUCUGUAAAUAACAGGAGAGUUCUGUGGCGCCAGGUGUCCCUGACUCAGUUAGGCUAGGUGAGGAUCCAUAGCCACCCCCUAGUAACCUCCAGUCAGCAUGAGACAGGGAAAAUACCUGGGAUGCCAGAUGACCCCCCCCCCCAGUAGUUUAUGGUGGUUGAUAACAUGUUGGGAAACCAUGUAGUUUAGCACAUACUCCCACCUCAUGGCCUAAACCAGUCAGUUCAAAGGAAUCCCCCUAUUGUACUAACCAAUCACCCCUACCCAACUUGUUCCCCCCAGUGAAUGUGCUAAUCAAUGUUAAGAGUUUUGUUUGAUUUUCCUGCGGUAUGGAAUGAUUUGCUGUGUGAUGUUGUGAUGCAUAGAGUAUCCCCCCAAAAACCUAUAAAAUCUCACUGAACAAAGGACUGGGACUCACUCCCUGGGACCGCUGCAUCGGGAACGGUUGUGAGUCCAGGCUUUUGAGCUUGCAAUAAAGAC